Molecule: long non-coding RNA, 576 nt
Organism: Oncorhynchus tshawytscha (Chinook salmon)
Lineage: Eukaryota; Metazoa; Chordata; Actinopteri; Salmoniformes; Salmonidae
Source: Ensembl
GCAGGUUGGAGAUAGUCAAACAGGCAGGUUGGAGAUAGUCAAACAGGCAGGUUGGAGAUAGUGAAACAGGCAGGCUGGAGAUAGUGAAACAGGCAGGUUGGAGAUAGUGAAACAGGCAGGUUGGAGAUAGUGAAACAGGCAGGUUGGAGAUAGUCAAACAGGCAGGUUGGAGAUAGUGAAACAGGCAGGCUGGAGAUAGUGAAACAGGCAGGUUGGAGAUAGUGAAACAGGCAGGUUGGAGAUAGUGAAACAGGCAGGUUGGAGAUAGUGAAACAGGCAGGUUGGAGAUAGUGAAACAGACAGGUUGGAGAUAGUCAAACAGGCAGGUUGGAGAUAGUGAAACAGGCAGGCUGGAGAUAGUGAAACAGGCAGGCUGGAGAUAGUGAAACAGGCAGGUUGGAGAUAGUGAAACAGGCAGGUUGGAGAUAGUCAAACAGGCAGGUUGGAGAUAGUGAAACAGGCAGGCUGGAGAUAGUGGAACAGAAAACUAUAUUGUUUGUUAUUGAAACUAUAUGUCCCAGUGAUUUCACAGCCAAUCACAACACUGGGCGGGAGAAAUCCAUUUCACAGCCAAUC